GUGAAAACAGUUAAAGCGGAACUAUUUUGUUUCUUUUCUUUUGUACCUGAUCAUCUCCGUCCACCGCACGGCCUCCUGCAGCUCCAUCAGCCGCUCCUUGUACUGGUUCCUCUCCAUCAGCACUCUGGCCAUUUCCACUCUGGUGAAGCGCUUCCUCUGAGCUGUGGGUACGUCACCCUGUGGCAGCACACCAUGCAAAGCUUGCUCUUGGCCUGCAGCACGGCCUCCAGCUCCCCCUGCAGCAGCUCCUUCUCACAGGUCAGCUCGUCCACCUUCAGGAUCAGGUCUUUGUUCACCACGUUCAAGGCAUUCCUGCACCCAACAGGCGUCGUUCAGGGUUUGUGCUUAUGAAUCAACGGGACAACAAACCAGGAACUCACUUUGUCUCCAGCAGCUGUGAAUUCUCUUGAAUGAGAUUCUCAACUUCCCGGCCCAUUCCUGAUGGGAGAGGAAACGUCAUAAAAACAACCACAAAUACCAGCAGCUGUGACUACUCUAUGGAGUUAGAUUUGGUGCAAAAGUGUCUGCCGUCUGUAAAAAGGUUUUGUACUUGAUGAAAAAAAUUGUCUGUUGAUAAAAAAGGAUUUUUGUACAUAUAAUAAAAAAUUAGUGCAUCUGGAAACUGUUUUGUAACUACAGAAAAAAUGUUCGAAAUGCUUUGCCUGUGAGUGAAAAAUAAAAGACGGAAUAUCGAGUGAUAUCAUUAGAAAUAAUAGCAAUUAGGGGUGUAACAGAACCCUAAUAAUAAUAACUAUUUUUAAGCAUUCUUUUCUCUCAGUUUUUGUAGAUUAAUCUCUAGAUAUGGAAAUGAAAUCCGAAACCGCACAUGUUUUAGCAUUUUGUCUGUGUUCAAAGUAGAAAUUGGUUUUGUUUCUAUAAAUAGGCCUCAAUGACCAAAUUGUUUGUGCAAUAUAUGAAUGUAUAUGUAUAUAUUCAAAAAGUUAAUUUUAGGCUUUAAACAUUGUUUUUUCCUGUUUUUUCUUUUUUUACGGAUCAGAAAGAUGAUCCAAACCAUGACCCUACAACUGUGAUGCGAUCCAAACCAUGAGUUUUGUAGUUCAUUACAUCCUUGAAAACAAUCACCCCCCCUCCUUUUUUUUUUUUUGUCAUAUUGAAAUAUGUCACUUACCAUAUUUUGAUAUCUUCCAUCAUUUUAUCUUUUUUUUUGUCGAUGUAUUCUUUUUUUUCCUGGCAUGAAAUAUCUUGCAUCUAAUUGGCUGGUUCAAGCAGCGCACCGAUUGGGUGACAACUUAAGGCAGCUGAUUGGUUGAUUUGUUGAGGAGCACAAGAUUUAUACUUAAAAACAUGGGUUCAGUUAGAAUUGAUCAAUGUAUGCGUCUGUUUGUGUGUGUGAUGGAUUUUUAGGAACUGACAAUUUUUUCCAGUUUUACAGACGAGCCAAUUCCUUUUAUCAGAUGUGCAAAAGUUUUUUACGGAUAGACAAUUUCUUUUUGACAAGUACAAGUUUUGACAAUUUCUAAAUGUUUUACAUACACACAAAACUCCUAUUCCAACUACAAAACUCUUUCACAGAUUGACAAUACUUUUGCAACACAGCAAGCUUCAUAGCACUGACUACAUGCUAAGAACAACGUCUAAACAGCACAACUUCAUGACCAUCUAAUGAGAUGAUUCUUACUACAGACUAAGGACAGCAAAUCCACGUCACAUGACUGAUAGGAGGAGAAUGAGGGAGCAGGUGGAGUCUUACCAAUCAAACUAAGGUCUGACAAAACCAUGCAAUCCGAGUCAGGCGGACAGAGCAAGGAGGAGGGAAGAGAGAGAAAGAGAAAUGCAGAUAUCGUUUGAGACAGUGGAAUGAUCCAAAUGACAAAAACAGCUAACGGUUUAGCUUUUGGCUCCACGAGGCUAACAGAGGAGCUGCAUCCAAAACCUCUAAGGACAACCACUGCAGGAGAAGGGGGCAACAAAAAAUGUGUGCAAGGAAUCUGAGCAGCAGCAGAGGACGCAUCCCGCCUCAAUUAAAAAAAAAAAGCAGCUUAAAGAUGUGCAUUACUCUCAAA
This 2024-nucleotide long non-coding RNA is filed under the name Oryzias javanicus (javanese ricefish). Its description in RNAcentral is "lncRNA (ENSOJAG00000014969.1)". The record is from RNAcentral. Lineage: Eukaryota; Metazoa; Chordata; Actinopteri; Beloniformes; Adrianichthyidae.